CAGAAGUCUUGUGCUGUUUCAUAAACUAGAGUAUCAGUGCAUAGGCAAUGCCAUAAAUUCUAGUAGCAAGCCUUAGAUUCUUCUGGUAAUGGCUACUUUGUGUGACUUAGAGAAAGGAGAAGCUUGGAUUUGCCUUCUGUGCUGAAUAAUCUUUGUAUUUCAGGUGAAAGCACAUCACCUGUAGUGGAAGAGCUAGAGGAUGAUUCUCUAACAGUGGAGAAAGUGCGCAGGAAGCAGAGAAGUCAUGAAACUCGAGAAGAGCAGGACUCUGGCAGUCCAUUUCAGGCUGGAAGAAGUAAGAAACAUCUUUCUUCUGAUGGUGACGAAGACGGUGAAAGAGGAUCACAGCUAAUUUCAGAUGGAGGCGCAGUAGUGAAAACCCAGUUAAGAAAAGAAAGGUCAUCAGAAGAGCAGAGGUACUAUAUCUGUCAAGGCCAGGGCCUUCUGGCCUACCUUCUACUUCUCUUAUUAA
Molecule: long non-coding RNA, 472 nt
Filed under: Struthio camelus australis
Lineage: Eukaryota; Metazoa; Chordata; Aves; Struthioniformes; Struthionidae
Description: lncRNA (ENSSCUG00000002297.1)
Source: RNAcentral